This 502-nucleotide ribosomal RNA is filed under the name uncultured bacterium. Its description in RNAcentral is "partial 16S ribosomal RNA". It matches the Rfam family "Bacterial small subunit ribosomal RNA", at positions 30 to 523 of the family's 1533-position model. The record is from RNAcentral.
AUUGAACGCUGGCGGAAUGCUUUACACAUGCAAGUCGAACGGCAGCACGGGUGCUUGCACCUGGUGGCGAGUGGCGAACGGGUGAGUAAUACAUCGGAACGUACCCAGUUAUGGGGGAUAACUAACCGAAAGGUUAGCUAAUACCGCAUACGCCCUGAGGGGGAAAGCGGGGGACCGUAAGGCCUCGCGUAAUUGGAGCGGCCGAUGUCUGAUUAGCUAGUUGGUGAGGUAAAGGCUCACCAAGGCGACGAUCAGUAGCAGGUCUGAGAGGAUGACCUGCCACCCUGGAACUGAGACACGGUCCAGACUCCUACGGGAGGCAGCAGUGGGGAAUUUUGGACAAUGGGCGAAAGCCUGAUCCAGCCAUUCCGCGCGAGUGAAGAAGGCCUUCGGGUUGUAAAGCUCUUUCGGCAGGGAAGAAACGCUCUGGGAUAAUACUCCGGGGUAAUGACGGUACCUGAAGAAGAAGCACCGGCUAACUACGUGCCAGCCGCCGCAGUAA